CAUAGGAUGUCGGCAAUCUCAGAAACCUCUGGGAGUCUGCUUUUCAUGUAGCAAACAACCUAGUAAGAAAAACUAGCUUUGGAGCCAGCCCCGGCUGGAAAAAAUGAAGCUAAAUGAAACUCUCUCCACAAUAUUGGGCUAAAACCUUUUGAUGUUUCUUGCUGAGCCUACCUGGCUAAUGCCAUCAGUGAAAGACAAAUCAGAACAGAUGAAGAAUGUGACUUUCAGGGGAUGAAUGGAAGCGCCUCCUCUGGCUCAUGCUGGUGGGAGAAAAUGAACCAGCCCUGCUUUCUCUCCCUGGUUCAAUUCCCAGCAAAGGAAAAACAAUGUAAUUCAUGAUGAUGAUGACAAUGACAAUGACGACAACAACAAUAACCAACCUUUAACACAUCCUUAUAAUGUGCCAGACCCUGCGGAUCACUGUGAAAAGAACAUGAGAUGCCCUUUGCAGGGACAUGGAUGGAGCUGGAAGCCAUUAUCUUCAGCAAACUAACACAGGAACAGAAAACCAAAUACUGCAUGUUCUCACUUAUAAGUGGGAGCUGAACCAUGAGAACAUGGACACAGGGAGGGGAACAACGCACACUGGGGCCUGUGGAGGGCAGGCGGGGGGAGGGAGAGCAUCAGGAUAAAUAGCUAAUGCAUGCUGGGCUUAAUACCUAGGUGAUGGAUUGAUAGGUGCAGCAAACCACCAUGGCACACAUUUACCUAUGGAGCAAACCUGCACCUCCUGCACAUUUACCCCAGAACUUAAAAUAAAAUAAAAUUUAAAAAGGACACGAGAUAAUGUAAGAAAGUAGUUAGCCCAUAGAAAGCUGUUACUAUUCCAGUAUGUAUCCUACUACCCACGGUGCCGCUUAUAUAAGAGCGCCCUCCUGAGGCUGUCAGAAUAACUGGGGCGAGGCAGGGAAUGAGAGGGGACACCAGGCCUGAGGAGUGAGGAGAACAGACUAGAAUGGCUUCCUGACCGAAACUACACCCGCUCAACCCCAGGCCUGUGUAAUAGGCACUUCCACUUUAGUGUGAGGGUAAAUCCCAGAACACUGAAGAAACACAGCCCAGAGCUGGCAUCCUUUUGGCCAUUUCCUGAAGUGGAGCUGGAUUUCAGAGGGCUGUCUCAAAUGACAGUGUCAGCACUAGGAGCUGAUGGUUAAAGCUCUGCAAGAAAACAGCAUCCAGCAUUUUCUUUUGCUACUCUCAUGGGCCAACAUGAAAGUGCGUAAUGAUGGACACAGGCUUUGCUUAAGUGGUGAGUCUAUCAUCCAACCUUUGACUAUAAUUAUGUUGCUCAGAUUAGAGCUAAGUAAACACUGGAUUUGUUUUUUUUUUUUUUUUACUACGAGCAAAUGAAUUUUAUUUCUUACUCAG
Molecule: long non-coding RNA, 1368 nt
Filed under: Homo sapiens (human)
Lineage: Eukaryota; Metazoa; Chordata; Mammalia; Primates; Hominidae
Description: HSALNT0359330
Source: RNAcentral